UACGGAAGGUGCAAGCGUUAAUCGGAAUUACUGAGCGUAAAGCGCGCGUAGGUGGCUUGAUAAGUCGGGUGUGAAAGCCCCGGGCUCAACCUGGGAAUUGCAUUCGAUACUGUCAAGCUAGAGUACGAGAGAGGGGGGUGGAAUUCCAGGUGUAGCGGUGAAAUGCGUAGAGAUCUGGAGGAACAUCAGUGGCGAAGGCGGCCCCCUGGCUCGAUACUGACACUCAGGUGCGACAGCGUGGGGAGCAAACAGG
Molecule: ribosomal RNA, 253 nt
Filed under: uncultured bacterium
Lineage: Bacteria
Description: partial 16S ribosomal RNA
Rfam family: Bacterial small subunit ribosomal RNA
Source: RNAcentral